RNAcentral lists this ribosomal RNA (161 nucleotides) under uncultured bacterium. RNAcentral describes it as "partial 16S rRNA". It matches the Rfam family "Bacterial small subunit ribosomal RNA", at positions 358 to 511 of the family's 1533-position model. The record is from RNAcentral.
GGAAUCUUCGGCAAUGGACGAAAGUCUGACCGAGCAACGCCGCGUGAGUGAAGAAGGUUUUCGGAUCGUAAAACUCUGUUGUUAGAGAAGAACAAGGAUGAGAGUAACUGUUCAUCCCUUGACGGUAUCUAACCAGAAAGCCACGGCUAACUACGCGCCAG